UAGCUUAGUUCGGCAGAGCGACGGACUCUUAAUCCGUAGGCCAAGGGUUCAAAUCCCU
RNAcentral lists this transfer RNA (58 nucleotides) under Methanomicrobiales archaeon HGW-Methanomicrobiales-6. RNAcentral describes it as "tRNA-Lys". It matches the Rfam family "tRNA", at positions 8 to 62 of the family's 71-position model. From Rfam's summary of the family: Transfer RNA (tRNA) molecules are approximately 80 nucleotides in length. Lineage: Archaea; Methanobacteriati; Methanobacteriota; Methanomicrobia; Methanomicrobiales. The record is from RNAcentral.